Molecule: long non-coding RNA, 6137 nt
Filed under: Marmota monax (woodchuck)
Lineage: Eukaryota; Metazoa; Chordata; Mammalia; Rodentia; Sciuridae
Source: RNAcentral
AUCGAACCUGGGCCGCACACAUGCCAGGCGAGCGCGCUACUGCUUGAGCCACAUCCCCAGCCCCAUGAAGGAAUUAUUUUAAGAGAGAGAAUUUUUAAUAUUUAUUUAUUUAUUUUUUAGUUUUCGGCAGACACAACAUCCUUGUUUGUAUAUGGUGCUGAGGAUGGAACCCGGAGCCGCACGUAUGCCAGGCGAGCGCGCUACCCCUUGAGCCACAUCCCCGGCCCAAGAAGGAAUUAUUUUAAAAACAAGAAAAAGAAUGUGUGGGGCUGGGGAUGUGGCUCAAGCUUGCUCGCUCGCGCUCUCUCUCUCUCUCUCUCUCAAAAAUUUUCUCUCUUUAAAAAUAUUUUUCUCUCUCUAAAAAAAAAAAAAAAAGAAUGUGUGGAUUAGUAGAUAAUAUAUGCAAGUUUUCUUUUAACUUGUCCCAAGAGAAAGUCGUAUUAAAUUCCCUUUGUUGAAGUGUGUGCACAUCAACACUGUGUAUGAUUAAGGUAUCCCUUUCUUCUUCAUUAUAUUUUUUCUCCUAUCCAGUCCUUAAUAUUAUCCUGUUAUAGAAUAACAGCUACAAAUUAGAUUUAUAUUUACUUGACUUGGAAGCAUCUCAUUAUUGGAGUGAUUUGUUGGUCCAUAGUGGAAGACAUGCCUAUUUUUGAGGGCUGUUCAUUUUCCAGGAGGCUGGAGGAGGACUGGCUUAGACAAUUAGAAAGAUGAUGGAUGGAAACUCUGGAAAAGCCAGUACUCUAACAUGAUGGGGGUGACGGGGGUUCUGUUUAUGUUAAUUAAUAGUGAUUUGAAUGAGCCCAGAGGCAUUGCUAGGGAUACAUUUUGAAAUAAAUAGUAAAAUGGAAGUUUAGUGAAACAUUAUAUAACUAAUAAUUUAGAAGCAUAGAUAUUUUUUACUUGUUCAUAUAAGUACUGCUGCAGUAAGCUACAUUUGUUUUGUGUUUCCAUACAGUACAAUCAAAUAUAUAUUUUUAUGCUUCUUAUUUCUCUUUAUUCUCCAUAGAGAUCUUAUUACUACUUACACACACACACACACACACACACACACAGAACAAUACUUCAAAUAUUUGUAUUGACAUUUGUGAUUGUGUUGCUGUUUUAUCAUUUUAGGAAUGUCUCUGUGUAGAGUAAAAUGACAGUGUAAACUUAACCACAAUGCCAAAUGUUUUUUUUUUUUUGCCAAAUGUUAAUCAUUAUUUUAUGUAUUUGAUAAUUUCUAGAAAAGACAGAAGAAGAUUGGUUAGAAAGAAUUCUUGAAUUGUAAGUAUUACUUAUUCCGGAGACCUAUGUAUGAUCAGAGUGAAUAUUGACGUUAUUUGGUUGUAAUAGCUCAUAUGUACCACAGUAGAAGAGUAAGAUCUAAAAAAUGCAGUUUGUUACCAUAGCAACCCUGUGUGCUAUUGCGCAUGAUGCUUUUAUUUCCUUUAAAUGUAGAUAUUUUUGUGAAAUACAACAAAGCUUAGAUUGUUGCUCCCAAAUUUAUUUUCCCACUUUAUUGGUUAGAACAUAUUUUAGAGCAUUCUCAAAACACAAAAUUUAUGAGAAAUCUCCCCCCCGGGUUGGUAUGUGACCAUGCCUAGGAAUUAAGGAUUGUAGGUUAUAUUUAAAUACGUCAGAAAUUAAAUACUUCAGAUUCAGAAAGGAGAAAAUGUAUAGACAUAUCCAUGUUAUAUUUUAAACUUGAUAUCAAGUUGACAUUAAAAUAAACACAUUGCACUUUUCCCCCCAAAUGCCUAAAUUAUGAAAUAAACACAGCUGCUACAAUUUCAGUGUAUAUGUGUCAAUUUGAUAAGAAUUGAAUGCAUUGUGAUUUACCAUAUGUUUUCUUUCUUAAUUAUAACUCUUACUUCUAAGAGUAUUCUAUAUUUUCAUUUCUCAUAUACCCAAUAAAAAUAUUUUUGUUUCCUUUAAACCUGAUUCUGCUGAAAAAAGAGGGAAAAGAACUAAAGAUUUAGGGUAAGAGUUUAGAGAUUUGGAAGGGCCACAUAUGGAUGAGAUAAGAGGUGAGGAAUUCUCAAGAAAGGAGGGGAAGACAUUCAUUCAUUUAUCCAACAGAUAUUUAUUGAGUUGCCUCAAGCCAGAUAUCGUUUUAUAUUCUGAGGAUAUGGCAGUGAAAAUAUUCCUGCUCUCCUGAAAUUUAUGUUGUAGGGAUGGAAGUUAGGAAAGGACUAUUUUCCUUCCCUAGCCUGAGAUGGCCCCAAUAUGACAAGAUAUUAGUAAAAGCAGCAUGAAUAACCAUGGCUGUGUUUGGCUAUGGUUAACUCAAGAGUCUUCUGUCUGCUAAAUUUGAAUAUUUUGUGUCAAGGACACUUUUUACACCAUAAUUUUGAUUUUGAUGUUAAUCUUCUUCAUGCAUUCCAAACUGCCCUCUACGGAAUGGACCUCACUCACAUUAAAUUCCUAAUUUUCUUUUACUUUGUCGGGACGUUUUGUGAGUGUUGUAACUAUGUGCAUUUUUUUUUUUUAAUAAUUGAGAAAGGGUCUCCCCUUUUGUGUUUGGCAUAACAUGGGUCUUAAAGGGUAAGUAGAAAUUUAGAAAGAGGGAACUAAGUAGCAGGAAAGUCCUGUUUGGCUCUGGGAGCCCCCAAGGUCUUGCCUAUUUCAAAAUGCACUCCUUGAUGGUUGCAAAAUAUUGAUAUUGUGGCACUCCUUUGUGUUGGAGGGGUGUUGGAGAGAAUGAAUUUCCAUUUUCGAACUGCUGCUGCCUAGCUGUGUGUUUUAGUUAGUUUUGUGACACUAACCAAAAGACCUGAAGAGAACAACUUAGAGGAGGAAAAGCUUAUUUUGACUUAGGGUUUCAGAAGUUCAGUUCAUAGCACUGGCCCAAGAUGAAGCAGAGCAUUGUGGUGGAAGGGCAUGGCUGAAGGAAGCUGCUCAGGAUAUGACAACCAGGAAGCAGAGGGAGAGAGUUCUGCUCACCAGGAACAAAAUAUAAACCCCAAAGGCACACCCCCAGUGAUCUUCUUCUAGCCACACCCUAUCUGCCUGUAAUUACUGCCCAGAUUCAUCUACCAAUUAAGUUAAUGCUCUUAUAACCCAGUCAUUCCACCUCUGAACAUUCUUACAUCAUCUCACAUGUGAACUUUUGGGGGAUACCUCAUAUCUAAAUUAUAACACUGUGUGAUCUUAAGCAAAUCACCUUUUUUUUUCAGAUUUUCUAUUAUUAUUUUUUUUGUACCAUACAAUUUUAUAUUUUUUUAGUCAUACAUGACAGCAGAAUGUAUUUUGACAUAUAAUACAUACAUGGAAUGUACAUACAUCAAUCAUAUUGUCUAUUCUAUUCUGCUGCCCAACAAAUUACCUUCUUAGAGCCUCAAUUUGUUUACCUAUAAAAAUAGGUUUAUAAUACCAACCUGUCAUAGAGAUAUUAAAUGAGGAAUAAAUGCAAUAACUUAUACAAAUUAUUUUUCAUGGUUCCUUCUGCUAAAUACCUCCUUGAGUGAAAGCAUUGCUAAAUGCUCCCUAGCACAGUAGAAAUUGUGUUAUCUGGGAGAGGAACUUCUGACCCAGUAAACUUGUUAAUGCAUGUGCUUGAAUUAGUGAUAUUAACUUUUUGUUAAUUAAAUAACUAGACUUCAGGGAAUAGUAUAAAGAACAAGUUUCAAUUUAGGAACAGGUGGUUGGGAAAUGUCUGUGGGAUGGGCUCAUAUAUGUGGGUAGGACCAAAUGAAGUGUGGACUGAGGGGAUGGUAUACAGUGCUAAAUGCCAGGGGAGUGCUAUAACUAGGGCAGCAAACACUGGGAAUCUGGAAACAAACUCUGUUUCUCUCAUCAUUUGUCUGGGUUUGUGUUUGUUUAUAGCUGAGUCCUCCCGUUUUCACAGUGAUUCUGAAGACCCUGAUCACCUGCUCAGCACUGACCUGAAGAACUCUUUUCAGGGAUGGACCCAUUGGAUACCAAAAGUGGUUUGGAUAAUCUGUCCAACUAUUCUUGAUAAGUUAUCUGAAUAAUAAUAAAAAACUCAACAGAAGAGGUAACCAUUUAAGUAUUUUAUUAUUAAUUUUGAAGAUGUUUGCCAUACUUUUAUGUUACAGAAGAGUAAGGUACAGAAAAUUUGAGGAACUUUUUUUUAAAAAUUGCAUCAGGAUCAGAAGUGUAGGUCUUAUAUCUGACUAUUGGCCUGAGAUUUCAUUUCUAGAAUUCUGAAAUCCCAAAAGCUCUAAAAACCAGAAUCAUUUCUGUUUUGUUUUUCCAAUUUUUUAUUGUGGUAAAAUACACAAUAAAAUUUAUCCUCUUAACCAUUCUGAAGGUAUAAUAUCCCACCAUCACCAUCAUCCAUCUCUAGAACUCUACAUUUUAUAAAACUGCAACUCUGUACCCAUCCAUUAAACAUUUCCCCAGUCUCUGUACCCUUAGCCCCUGGCAAACACUGCUUUGUUUUAAAAAAUAAGUUUAGAAUUAAAACUAAGUUGACAGCUAAGCCUGACUCAAAUUGAUUAAUUUUACUCCUGAUUUACUCCCUAUGUGGUAUGUAUUUGAGUAUAUUCAUAUAUUUUGCUUCAGAAAUAUUAAUAUAUUUAAUUAUUAGGGACUUCCCCAGAUCCCACUGGAAAUAUAAAGUUGUUCUUAUAUGUAUUACUUCAACAAGCAAACACUUUCUGAGUUCUGAAACAUAUCAGACCUCUGGGAUUUGGUUAGGGAUUGUAGGACCUACAAUAUACUAAGGUUACUAGUAUUGUUUUAUUAUUUAAAAUUCUGUUUUAGUUUAGCUGACCUUAAGAUCUGAAAAUUCAUUUUUGAAAAAUAUAAACUCAUUCAACAUUGUAGACAUUUGCUUAAAGCCCCCGUUUUCAGGAAGCGUGUUCAACCUGUCUUAAGCCCCUCUUGGAGGAUCCUUUAUCUUUACCUUCUCCAAAUGAUACCCCUGUAGGUGUGGAGGAGGGGGUGUGUGUUUGCUGGGGGGAGUAUGCUGGGAUCAAAUCUAGGCCUAGGCCUUGUGUGUGCACUACCACUCACAUGUCCCAGUCCUGAUGUCUGUUUCUUAAACAGAUUUUGAACUCUGUUUUGGUUUAGAGCCCUACCACCAUCUCCAGAUCUUCCAAUUCCUGGGAUUUAACCACUGCCUCCCCAAACCUCCCAAACUAACCUUCUUUACAUUUUAGUAUGGGAGGUUUUAAGGAGGGGGUGAAAGUUAAUGCUUAUGUUCAAUCUGCCAUCUUUAUUAAAUAUUUAUUUAUUUGCUUUGUUUAAAGUAACUCAAUAUUUUCUGUAUGUUCAUUUUAUAUACUUUCUGUAUGUUCAUCUUUUCUUGACAGAGACCCUAGUCUUCAGUGUUUGGUGGUCCUCUUCAGGCUCCUAGAGCUAUUGUGAAAGUGUACUUGACUUUGGCCCAGAAUGUGAUUGUUUUAGCACAGAUCUGACUGGUAUUAGUGUUGUGACAUAUUCUGCAUUACUGUUUUUUUUUCUUGUUUGUCUUCCCCUAAUGUCUUCCUCAGGCUUCUAGAGGAAGGAUGAGGAAAGAGCCAGGAGGGAAGCAGAAUCAGGGGAAGGGGAAGGACAGCCAAUCAGGAGUGGGACUUUGGCAUUUGACAAAUUAUUGCUUUCUUAUAUACUUUCAACAGGAAAGCAUCUGAGGCUUUCUGGUUAAUAUAUUAGAAUCUGCAUCAUCAUAACUAUACCUAAGGAUAGUAUUAGAAAUAUUUAAUGAUGGGUAUGUUGUGGGCAGUGACCAGUUAUGGAGCACCUUUAUGCUGUGCUGAUGUAUAUAUAUAUCCAGGCUUAUACUUGGGUAUAGCAUGCCCCAGCUUUCUACAACUAUCUCCCGCUUUUAUUGCCUUUCCCUAAUUUCUGGAAUGGAGCUUUAGAGAAAUGGGUUUGGGCUAUUUUUCCUCCUUCCAGGCUCCCUCCAUGAAGCUUAAACCAAAUGUCCCUGUGCAUAGUGGCAAUAUUAGAUGCUGUGGAAUUGGAAGGUAAUGGUCCUUCCCAUAGGGGAAGUCUCUGUUAUAAGAGUGAAAUAUGGAAUUCAGAAGUAAGUGUGUGCGUGUGUGUGCGCGCGCGUGCACUCGUGCAUGUGUGUAUGGUGUAUGUGUGUGUCUUGGGGGUGUGGGUAUGUUAUCAAAACCAGACUUAGCCAAAGGAGAUUUCUGUACUGGCAGAUUUAUCCAUUAGUUUUUCUUACCUCCCCUUCUCCUUCU